UACGAAGGGGGCUAGCGUUGCUCGGAAUCACUGGGCGUAAAGGGUGCGUAGGCGGGUCUUUUAAGUCAGGGGUGAAAUCCUGGAGCUCAACUCCAGAACUGCCUUUGAUACUGAGGAUCUUGAGUUCGGGAGAGGUGUGUGGAACUGCGAGUGUAGAGGUGAAAUUCGUAGAUAUUCGCAAGAACACCAGUGGCGAAGGCGGCUCACUGGCCCGAUACUGACGCUGAGGUGCGAAAGCGUGGGGAGCAAACAGG
This 254-nucleotide ribosomal RNA is filed under the name uncultured bacterium. RNAcentral's name for it is "partial 16S ribosomal RNA". It matches the Rfam family "Bacterial small subunit ribosomal RNA", at positions 524 to 776 of the family's 1533-position model. The record is from RNAcentral.